This 253-nucleotide ribosomal RNA is filed under the name uncultured bacterium. RNAcentral describes it as "partial 16S ribosomal RNA". It matches the Rfam family "Bacterial small subunit ribosomal RNA", at positions 524 to 776 of the family's 1533-position model. The record is from RNAcentral.
UACGUAGGGUGCGAGCGUUAAUCGGAAUUACUGGGCGUAAAGCGUGCGCAGGCGGUGGCUCAAGCCAGGCGUGAAAUCCCCGGGCUUAACCUGGGAAUGGCGUUUGGGACUGGGUCGCUAGAGUGUGGCAGAGGGAGGUGGAAUUCCACGUGUAGCAGUGAAAUGCGUAGAGAUGUGGAGGAACACCGAUGGCGAAGGCGCACAUCUGGCCCGAUACUGACGCUGAGGCGCGAAAGCUAGGGGAGCAAACGGG